UUUGAAACGCGAGCAAAUGGGAAAGUUCAGCACCCGGAAAGAUCGCGAAGUCAGAAUGAAGCAUCAAGGAGUGCAUCAAGCAGUGAGAAUGAAGCAGGUCGACCGUUGAGUAGACCCCUGACGUCACUCGAAACUCGUGGAAUAUUCUGUGGGUGAAACGGGCUCCGACCCGAGCCAUCUUGGCCGCCCAACUCAUUGUGACGUCAUCAGUGGAAGCUGGUCGUGUUAAAAGAGAGUUGGGUUUUUUUAAACUUUAAUCAGCAAUAAGUUGUGAAUUAAAGCAUAAAAUCUUAA
Amblyraja radiata (thorny skate) is the source of this 294-nucleotide long non-coding RNA. RefSeq lists it as uncharacterized. The transcript has 2 exons. Lineage: Eukaryota; Metazoa; Chordata; Chondrichthyes; Rajiformes; Rajidae. The record is from RefSeq and is a predicted model, not a curated record.